Molecule: long non-coding RNA, 1050 nt
Filed under: Actinidia chinensis (golden kiwifruit)
Lineage: Eukaryota; Viridiplantae; Streptophyta; Magnoliopsida; Ericales; Actinidiaceae
Description: long non-coding RNA (ACHI_LNC002863)
Source: RNAcentral
AAGAGGAACUAAAAAGAUAUAAAAUUCUGAUUAAAAAUUGUGAAAAAAGUUCACUAUAGAAACAAAACUCAAAGAUUAAAGCAAUUAAAAAAACCAAAAAAAGUCCAGAUUGUUGUCUUAGAAAAUCAGUUUCGUCUUUGUGGCAUGCGGAAGAGAUCAACCCCUAUUUAGUAUUUGCUUUGGCUAGAGAGAGAGAGAGAGAGAGAGAGAGAGAGCAUGGAGGCGGCAAAGUUUACAAGUAUAGGGAGGUCUCUGCAGGUACCCUGUGUCCAGGAGCUGGCUAAGAGUACUCAGGCUACGGUUCCGCCCCGAUACGUGCGUGCCGAUCAAGACCCGAUCAAAUUCGACACCUUUUCGUUACCUGAAAUCCCAGUUAUUGACCUGCAAAGAUUACUUUCAGGAGAUUCAAUGGAUUCAGAGCUCGAAAAUUUCCACUCUGUCUGCAAAAACUGGGGUUUUUUUCAGGUAUCAAUUAAUACUUGUGCGCGCGCGUGCAUAUUUGCAUGGGCGGACCCAAGAAGGGCCCGUGGGGACCGCUGACUUUUAAACAAUAUAAUUUUUUAAUUUUUUUUUUAAUUCUAUCUUCAAUAAUUGAAUAAUAAGAUAUUUUCCCAACUCAUUAAUGAAAUAGUCAGUUUUUAUUUUUUAACUUAUUUUACAUUUAAUUAUAAAUAAUUUUGUACAUGGACUCUAAUAGAAGGCUCCGUUUGGUACUUCUUAAAGUCAAGAUUUUUUUAACUUGCUUACCAAAAAAUUAAGUUUUUUUGAUUUUUUUGAUUUUUCUAGUUUUACUUUAGUUAAAAAUAAGCAAAAAAAUAAAAAACAAAAAACAAAAAGUCAAUUCUAACUGAUUUUUUUGUUUAUAAGUUUAAAAAAAAUCAGCCGAAAAACUAAAAAAAUUGAUGCCAAACAGAGCCUAAGUUUUGGCCCCAUUGAUAUAAAUUUCUGGAUCCGCUCCUGCAUAUUUGUGUAUAUAUAUAUAUAUAGCUUACUAGACUGACUAAUCUGAGAAAAAAAUUUUACCGUCCAAAAGCUAAGAACCCAUUUAAA